RNAcentral lists this transfer RNA (66 nucleotides) under Mesabolivar sp. ITV1036I2. RNAcentral's name for it is "tRNA-Met". Lineage: Eukaryota; Metazoa; Arthropoda; Arachnida; Araneae; Pholcidae. The record is from RNAcentral.
AUUUAGGUCAGCUAAUAAAGCUAAUGAGUUCAUACCUCAUAAAUGGAUUAUUUAUUUUGCCUUCUA